UACGGUGGGUGCAAACGUUGCUCGGAAUUACUGGGCGUAAAGCGCACGUAGGCGGCUUUGUAAGUUAGAGGUGAAAGCCCAGGGCUUAACCCUGGAAUUGCCUUUAAGACUGCAUCGCUAGAAUCGUGGAGAGGUGAGUGGAAUUCCGAGUGUAGAGGUGAAAUUCGUAGAUAUUCGGAAGAACACCAGUGGCGAAGGCGACUCACUGGACACGUAUUGACGCUGAGGUGCGAAAGCGUGGGGAGCAAACAGG
RNAcentral lists this ribosomal RNA (253 nucleotides) under uncultured bacterium. RNAcentral describes it as "partial 16S ribosomal RNA". It matches the Rfam family "Bacterial small subunit ribosomal RNA", at positions 524 to 776 of the family's 1533-position model. The record is from RNAcentral.